RNAcentral lists this long non-coding RNA (233 nucleotides) under Rattus norvegicus (Norway rat). RNAcentral's name for it is "long non-coding RNA NONRATT022879". Lineage: Eukaryota; Metazoa; Chordata; Mammalia; Rodentia; Muridae. The record is from RNAcentral.
AGCUGAUCGAGAAGUGCUGGACAGAGGAUGAAGUGAAACGCUUCGUUAAGGGGCUCCGACAGUACGGCAAGAACUUCUUCAGAAUCAGAAAGGAGCUGCUUCCCAAUAAGGAAACCGUUCUGGAGAGACUUGGUGUGGAGAGCAGAGCAGCAGUGAUGUAGAAACUCUCCUUAAGUUUUCAGAGACUCUUUUUUCUAAGUUUGUUGCAUACAUUAAAAAAUGAAAGUGACUUG